Molecule: ribosomal RNA, 373 nt
Filed under: uncultured bacterium
Lineage: Bacteria
Description: bacterial SSU rRNA
Rfam family: Bacterial small subunit ribosomal RNA
Source: RNAcentral
UAAUACGGAGGUGGCAAGCGUUGUUCGGAUUGAUUGGGUGUAAAGGGCAUGUAGGCGUCCUGGUAAGUCGAGCGUGAAAUCCCGUAGCUCAACUGCGGAACUGCAUUCGGAACUGCCAGGAUUGAGUACGGAAGGGGAGAAUGGAAUUCCCGGUGUAAGGGUGAAAUCUGUAGAUAUCGGGAGGAACGCCAGUGGCGAAGGCGGUUCUCUGGGCCGAUACUGACGCUGAAAUGCGAAAGCUAGGGGAGCAAACAGGAUUAGAUACCCUGGUAGUCCUAGCCGUAAACGAUGGGCACUAGGUGUAGGCUUGUAAAAGUCUGUGCCGCAGUUAACGCAUUAAGUGCCCCACCUGGGGAGUACGUCGGCAACGAUG